UUCUGGUUAGCUCAAUUGGUAGAGCAACCGCCCUGAAAAGGCGUUGGUCCCAGGUUCGAUCCCCGGACCAGGAC
This 74-nucleotide transfer RNA is filed under the name Rhipicephalus sanguineus (brown dog tick). RNAcentral describes it as "transfer RNA phenylalanine (anticodon GAA)". It matches the Rfam family "tRNA". Rfam says of the family: Transfer RNA (tRNA) molecules are approximately 80 nucleotides in length. Their secondary structure includes four short double-helical elements and three loops (D, anti-codon, and T loops). Further hydrogen bonds mediate the characteristic L-shaped molecular structure. tRNAs have two regions of fundamental functional importance: the anti-codon, which is responsible for specific mRNA codon recognition, and the 3' end, to which the tRNAs corresponding amino acid is attached (by aminoacyl-tRNA synthetases). tRNAs cope with the degeneracy of the genetic code in two manners: having more than one tRNA (with a specific anti-codon) for a particular amino acid; and 'wobble' base-pairing, i.e. permitting non-standard base-pairing at the 3rd anti-codon position. The record is from Rfam by way of RNAcentral. Lineage: Eukaryota; Metazoa; Arthropoda; Arachnida; Ixodida; Ixodidae.